UCGCAGGCUGCAACCCGCCUGCGUGAAGUUGGAAUCGCUAGUAAUCGCGGAUCAGCAUGCCGCGGUGAAUACGUUCCCGGGCCUUGUACACACCGCCCGUCACACCAUGAGAGUCGGGAACACCCGAAGUCCGUAGCCUAACCGCAAGGGGGGCGCGGCCGAAGGUGGGUUCGAUAAUUGGGGUGAAGUCGUAACAAGGUACC
This 203-nucleotide ribosomal RNA is filed under the name uncultured bacterium. RNAcentral describes it as "partial 16S ribosomal RNA". It matches the Rfam family "Bacterial small subunit ribosomal RNA", at positions 1298 to 1500 of the family's 1533-position model. The record is from RNAcentral.